Molecule: unclassified non-coding RNA, 253 nt
Filed under: Borreliella garinii
Lineage: Bacteria; Pseudomonadati; Spirochaetota; Spirochaetia; Spirochaetales; Borreliaceae
Description: partial 5S-23S ribosomal RNA intergenic spacer
Source: RNAcentral
CUGCGAGUUCGCGGGAGAGUAAGUUAUUGCCAGGGUUUUUAUUUUAUAAUUUAAACAUUGAUUUUAUUUUUUAUGUUUUUAUAUGUUCAUGUUUUUGAAUGUUUUAUUCAAAUAAUGUAAAAAAUAAAAUAUAUAUUGACAUGGAUUAAACAAAGAUAUAUAUUAUUCUAUGUUGCAUAAACAAAUUGGCAAAAUAGAGAUGGAAGAUAAAAAUAUGGUCAAAGUAAUAAGAGUCUAUGGUGAAUGCCUAGGA